Molecule: long non-coding RNA, 1170 nt
Organism: Anolis sagrei ordinatus
Lineage: Eukaryota; Metazoa; Chordata; Lepidosauria; Squamata; Anolidae
Source: RefSeq, a predicted model, not a curated record
UGUGGUUACAGAGUAGAGACACUAGGAGGGUAAUCUCUACCACAACCUGAGAAUUCUGCCAGAGCGUCAAAAGGAGAUGGCCCAAGUUCAAUCACAGACAGAAAAAGCAAGUGGGCAAAAUAAGUAACGGAGCAGCAGAUGGGAGGUUUAUAGGCUACUACCUCAUGUAGCAAAAUCAAGCUGCUAACUGAAACUUUGCCAUUUUGCAAUCACAGGUGGGACAGAGUUAAAAACAGCAUAUAAUUCCUUUCAGCCUUUUGCUUUGAGAUGUCCAACAUGUCAUCCAUACCUGUUUUGUCAUUGAUCUAGUUAAGAAGAUGAUAAACACAGAUUUUUUUAUGGCAUACUUUUGUAGUUUAUCCCCCCGCCCACUAAGUAAUGCUUAAAUAACCACAAAAACAAUUCGCUUACCAGCAAAAGUGCAUAUAAAAUGUAUUUUUGAACAGCCAUUUGAAUUCUGAACAGCUGCUUUGUUUGACCAAGUUUCUUCUUUUUCCGAUUUGUUUAUCACAAAUAUUCAUGAGAACAGAUUUUGUUUUGUCAUGUUUUGUUUAUUUGUAGAGUGCCAGUUCUAUGUUGGGAAAAUUUUCCCCUGGUGUGCAAAGACAUGCUGUGAUGCUCUUCCUGUGGGUCUGUAUGUCAGUAAAAGAGCAAAAUAUCUCAUCCAGGUAUCUAUUUAAGGUCCAGACUCCAAAAGGUCAUAGCUACAAAUAGAAAGGGUCAGAUAUAAUUUCUUCUCUAUAGGUACUUUCAUUGUUGUCCAGUAAUAGUUCAGAAGUUUAUACUAACAGCAUUGCUUUACACUAUCUUUGUUUUCCAACAGCUUAUUUUUUAUUCCAUGAAUAACCCACAAAACAGAGAAAGAUAGAAUAGAUACACAGCACACUGCCUUUGGAUAGAUAGUACUGGAUACCACCUAUCUGGAAACAAUGAAAGUUGCAUAAUGGAAAUAGAAAUUCUGCCAUGCUUAGAAAGGGUGGGAAUAAGCUGAUGAAAAGUUAAAUAAUAAUAAUAAUAAUAAUAAUAAUAAUAAUAAUAAUAAUAAUAAUUUUAUUUGUAUACCUUGCCUCCAUCUUCCCAAAGGGACUCAGGGAGGCUUACAUGGGGACAAGCCCAAACAGCAUAAUAAAAUAAAAUAGCACAUUAAAAUAUAUAAUGGCAACAAAAAAA